AGUGAACGCUGGCGGUAGGCCUAACACAUGCAAGUCGAACGGCAGCACAGUAAGAGCUCGCUCUUACGGGUGCCGAGUGGCGGAUGGGUGAGGAAUACAUCGGAAUCUACUUUUUCGUGGGGGAUAACGUAGGGAAACUUACGCUAUUACCGCAUACGACCUACGGGUGAAAUCAGGGGAUCUUCGGACCUUGCGCGAUUCAAUGAGCCGAUGCCGGAUUAGCUAGUUGGCGGGGUAAAGGCCCACCAAGGCGACGAUCCGUAGCUGGUCUGAGAGGAUGAUCAGCCACACUGGAACUGAGACACGGUCCAGACUCCUACGGGAGGCAGCAGUGGGGAAUAUUGGACAAUGGGCGCAAGCCUGAUCCAGCCAUGCCGCGUGGGUGAAGAAGGCCUUCGGGUUGUAAAGCCCUUUUGUUGGGGAAGAAGAGCAGCAGGUUAAUACCCCGCUGUUCUGACGGUACCAAAAGAAUAAGCACCGGCUAACUUCGUG
RNAcentral lists this ribosomal RNA (492 nucleotides) under uncultured bacterium. RNAcentral describes it as "partial 16S ribosomal RNA". It matches the Rfam family "Bacterial small subunit ribosomal RNA", at positions 29 to 507 of the family's 1533-position model. The record is from RNAcentral.